Molecule: ribosomal RNA, 468 nt
Filed under: uncultured bacterium
Lineage: Bacteria
Description: partial 16S ribosomal RNA
Rfam family: Bacterial small subunit ribosomal RNA
Source: RNAcentral
GACGAACGCUGGCGGCGUGCUUAACACAUGCAAGUCGAACGGAAAGGCCCUGCUUUUGUGGGGUGCUCGAGUGGCGAACGGGUGAGUAACACGUGAGUAACCUGCCCUUGACUUUGGGAUAACUUCAGGAAACUGGGGAUAAUACCGGAUAGGAGCUCUUGCUGCAUGGUGGGGGUUGGAAAGUUUCGGCGGUUGGGGAUGGACUCGCGGCUUAUCAGCUUGUUGGUGGGGUAGUGGCUUACCAAGGCUUUGACGGGUAGCCGGCCUGAGAGGGUGACCGGCCACAUUGGGACUGAGAUACGGCCCAGACUCCUACGGGAGGCAGCAGUGGAGAAUAUUGCACAAUGGGCGGAAGCCUGAUGCAGCAACGCCGCGUGCGGGAUGACCGCCUUCGGGUUGUAAACCGCUUUCGCCUGUGACGAAGCGUUAGUGACGGUAAUGGGUAAAGAAGCACCGGCUAACUACGUG